This is a non-coding RNA of Aquitalea magnusonii, 92 nucleotides long. Lineage: Bacteria; Pseudomonadati; Pseudomonadota; Betaproteobacteria; Neisseriales; Chromobacteriaceae. The record is from Rfam.
UCCAAUGGCAGGCCAGGCGGGGAGACCUAUACGGUCUGCCGGUCAAUGGUGGUGCUUCCGGUUCGCCAACCCCGCUUUGGCCUGCCACCCGC